Notolabrus celidotus (New Zealand spotty) is the source of this 834-nucleotide long non-coding RNA. RefSeq lists it as uncharacterized. The record is from RefSeq and is a predicted model, not a curated record. NCBI's taxonomy places the organism in Eukaryota, Metazoa, Chordata, Actinopteri, Labriformes, Labridae. The transcript has 3 exons.
GGUUUGUCGUGGAGCAGCUCAUUUUGGAAGGGCAAAACAAAUCUCUGUCAGGCACAAGUCUUUUUUCAGUGGUUCAAAGGUUUCCUUCAGCAACUGGCUGCACUUCAUGUACAGGUUUUCUCAGGGUUUACGAUUACGUCAGAUUGACAUGAUGGAAGACAGCAUUGCUGCCAGUUCAGCAACUCUGACUAAAAUGACCAAAAAAAUCAGGAAGGUCUGUGUCACAGCACUUAAAAGGAUGAGAAGGCGUACAGGCCAACGCAUUGGUGGAACAAGGGAGUUUGUUGUGAUAGAUGAGAGCCAUUUCAGACAUAAAAGAAAGUAUGGCAGAGGAAGAAUGGCUGGUGGAUGGAAGAGAAAGAAGUGGGUCUUUGGGAUGUUAGGUGUGAGCCGUCAUCAUGGUGAAACAUCAAUAAGGCCUAUUCUACGUCUUGUAGAAAAAAGAUCUCGAAGAGAUCUCGUCCCCUUGAUUUCCUAUCAUGUGAGGAGAGGAUCAUCAAUCAUCAGCGAUGAGUGGCGUGCAUAUCACAUUCUUCCUGCACUUGGGUACGACCAUCACACUGUCAACCACAGCAGGUGGUAUGUUGACCCCCGGACUGGUGCCCACACCCAACACAUUGAGAGGGCUUGGAGAUCCUACAAAGCGCAUAUCUGUAGACUAAGGGGAAAUCGUACCGAACGUUUGCUUUCUGACCACCUAAUGCUGAUUGAGUGGAAUGAAUGGCUUGCAAAGAAACACCAUGAUGGUGCAUUUGGUAGACUCAUUCAUGACAUAUCAAGAAAGUACAAUUAGGAUUGUAUUUAUUAUACAUCCAUAGUAACCAGUGUCAGUGU